RNAcentral lists this ribosomal RNA (600 nucleotides) under uncultured bacterium. Its description in RNAcentral is "bacterial SSU rRNA". It matches the Rfam family "Bacterial small subunit ribosomal RNA", at positions 881 to 1482 of the family's 1533-position model. The record is from RNAcentral.
UACGGUCGCAAGAUUAAAACUCAAAGGAAUUGACGGGGACCCGCACAAGCGGUGGAUGAUGUGGAUUAAUUCGAUGCAACGCGAAAAACCUUACCUACCCUUGACAUGUCAGGAAUCCCGAAGAGAUUUGGGAGUGCCGCAAGGAACCUGAACACAGGUGCUGCAUGGCUGUCGUCAGCUCGUGUCGUGAGAUGUUGGGUUAAGUCCCGCAACGAGCGCAACCCUUGUCAUUAGUUGCCAUCAUUUAGUUGGGCACUCUAAUGAGACUGCCGGUGACAAACCGGAGGAAGGUGGGGAUGACGUCAAGUCCUCAUGGCCCUUAUGGGUAGGGCUUCACACGUCAUACAAUGGUCGGUACAGAGGGUUGCCAACCCGCGAGGGGGAGCCAAUCCCAGAAAGCCGAUCGUAGUCCGGAUCGUAGUCUGCAACUCGACUACGUGAAGUCGGAAUCGCUAGUAAUCGCGGAUCAGAAUGCCGCGGUGAAUACGUUCCCGGGUCUUGUACACACCGCCCGUCACACCAUGGGAGUGGGUUUCACCAGAAGUAGCUAGCCUAACCGUAAGGGGGGCGGUUACCACGGUGAGAUUCAUGACUGGGGUG